This 71-nucleotide transfer RNA is filed under the name Marmota monax (woodchuck). Its description in RNAcentral is "tRNA.Ala". The record is from RNAcentral. Lineage: Eukaryota; Metazoa; Chordata; Mammalia; Rodentia; Sciuridae.
GGGGCUGUAGCUCAGUGGCACAGCACUUGCCUAGCAUGUGUGAGGCACUGAGUUCCAUCCUCAGCGCCACA